UCUCCCUCUUCCUCCAUCCUCCCCUCCCGCAUCCCAUCCCCUCUGCGCGCGGUGGCGGCGACAGCGGCGAAGCGGAAGGCAGCGGCAGGCGUAGGCGGGCGGUGCAGGGAGGCGGAUGCGGUCGGGCCGCGGCGGCGGCGGGCGUGGGUGGCUGCGGAAGGGCGCAGCGCCGGGCGUGCGCGGGGCGGCGCUGGAGGGCGCGGGGCAGGGCGUGGCCGGCGCGUGCGGUGCGCGAACGAGGCGCGCAUGGGGCGGCCAGGCGGGGCGAGCAGCAGCUUGGCGGCAGUAGCGCGCGCGGUUGGCGCCCAGAAGCAGCAGCGGGCUCGCGCGGGCGGCACGGGGCGCGGCGUGCAGAGCCGACGGGCGGUAGCGGGCGGGGCACAUGCGGCCAGGCUCGUGCGCGAGGCGCGGCCAGGGCGUGGCCUGAGGCGCCUAGGGCAGUUGGUGGUGGCUCGCCUUCCGUCCUCGAGCCCCACGCCCGUCCUUCUCUCUGCAUCGCCUCCUCUUCCUCCCCUCCAGGCUUCUCCACCGCGCGGUCACGCCUAAACACCGGCCGGGAUGAGAGUGAGGGCGGCGAGGGAGAGAGAGACAGGAGAGGAUUCGUGGCGCCAGGGGCUAUGGCGGCGGCAACAUUGGGAAAGGCAGGGGAGGAGGAGGCAGUGGCCGCUGAUGGAGAGGUGCCUCUCCUGCCAUCAAGAUGCAUCCAGAAUGGCGAUGACGAGCGGCCGAUCAGUGUGGCCAUGGUCUUAUGAACGACAGAGGCUUCUCUCCCCCCGCCUCUCCUCUUGCCUCUCCUCCUGCCUCUCCUCCAGGUCACAGCUGAACCUCAUCGGAAAGAGAUCGGCCUGGUACCUUUCCUCCCACUCUCCUUCUUCUCCUCAUGCCCGUCCUUCUAUGUAUUCUACAUUUACCAAUGGACAAGAAUGACACUUCAGAUAUGAGGUUAUUGUUGUUGUAGCUUUUCAUUAUAAUUUUCUUUUACUUUUGUUGAUCUAUGUAAGAAAUUAGUUUUAUUUGCCCAUGAUACUGCUGAAAAACAUGUUCACUUCAAAUAGUAAAUCAUAUCCUGUCAUUAUUCAAGAGGUAAACUGAGGAAAAGAAAGUAUCAAGAAAGCAACCAUCGUGUAUAUAUCUUAGUAUAUAUUUGCCCAUCGUUCUACAAGAUGCUAAUCGCUUCAGCUUUGGGUUAACUUGUUGGUUGGCUCCUGAAACUGAGCACAUGUUGGUAUUUCAUUGUUGUACUGGUGUAUGCAAGGGUUAUUCUCGUGCAGAGGUUUUGAACUGUGAUUUCCUUCUCUUUCAAGUCUAAAGCAUUCGACUGAUAAUUUCAGGCAGGCAUUUCAAUUUUCUGUCAUGCUUCUAUAUAUCAAGCGUGGUUGAGAAAGUUCCAUUUUUAAAAGGGGCUGGAGCUCCAUGGCUUACAGAUCUAACGACCCCUGAUGCUCUUUGCAUAUUUCCCAUGAUAACAUCAAUGUUCGUCAUGCUUCCCUUUGAGGAGCGGCAGGUGCAGAUGCGUGUGCGAGGAGUGCCGUCGGUCGACCGGCGUUCUUUCUUCGUCAGGAAGGGUGCAGCCUGCUAUUCAAGCCCCUCUCCUUUGCUCCUUGCAGAGCAGGAGAGGCAUGGGCACCACCACACUUGAGAGAUGGACGAGGACAUGAAGCUUUCGUGGAGAGGACGAGGUGGCCGCCGCAGCACCCCCACGCCGCGGACGCGGAGAUUCCCAUCCUGUCUGCCCCCGACAACCACUUCGGUGGCGCCAUGAACGGAAACAAUCGCCUCUUCACGACAGGCGCAGACCGCAUGGUCGUCUUCCUCUCCGGCUUCUUCUACACCAUCAGACUCAGACCCUCUCCCGCUCCCUCUCCCUCUGCAUCUCUGUAAAAAUAUGGUCAACUAGGAGAUGAUGCAAGCCAAGGCGCUCACACCGAUUUAAGAUGGUGUGGGUGAUCAAUAGAAGACAAAUGAAUACACUGAUGGAAGGCCAUGUCAAAAUGACAGCUGUUAAACAAGAGGAGGUAGACACAACCAGUGAUACCAGCGGUGACCAAUUACCCAUGGCAAUUCUGAAAAACAUACUUAUGAUUGAUCAGUCUUUUUUUUAUCACUUAUGCAUGCAAGUUGAUCAAGUAUGUAAUAAAACAAAUUCUUUCAGGGUCCAGUAGGUGUUCUGUUUGCUAUUCAUUAAUGCUCUGAUUUAUUUGCUGUUACAUGUACAAGCACUGCUUACUGCUUCCCACUAACCAUGUACAAUAGAUAGUCUUUUCUACCUUUCACGAGUACACACAAGCUAAUUAGCCCCUCUGUUUGUUUAUGUUGUCCUCUAUUUGCUAUUGCAAACUCUUACCAUGAUCUCCUUAUCUAUUCAACACAAACGAACCACUGUGUCAGAAGCACAAUAAGCCAUACGAGUAAAUUCAUUGCCCACGGAAAGCAAACUCAAUCCAAAAGUUCAAAGGCAAGAAAAUCCAUGGUGAGCCUUGCAUCCACUACUUAGAUGAGUUUAGUCACCACAUUGUGUGGGUCAACACAGUUAAGCUCUCUAACCAUAAUGUCCGUACACUGCGAAAGAUCAUCCGCAGCACCACCACGCCUGAUAACUACUAUGUGUGCCACAUGACAGAAACAUUUGCAACACAAGGCAAAAGAAUGGUAGUCCUUUGCAAUUACUCUGUCCGGUUUCAUAUAAUAGCAUGGUAUAAAAUGAUAUAGUGACUAACCUUUACUAUUAUUUUCAGUACUUUAGCGUUCCUUUUUCUAGGGGUUCCAUUUCCCACACAUGGAUGCUGACCAUGGUGAACUGCCAAUCACUACUGGAGAUGGAACUGCCGCUGUCACGGCCCACUUUAUCAAGGGUGUUGACAAAAGGGCAACCAUCACUGAAGGCUGGAGCGACUUCUUCCGUCAGGCACACAUGGACGAAGGGCAAGUAUACGCUUUCGCCUUCAAAUGCACUUCCAAGGGACUGUGCCUGAUCGUCUACUCAAUAUAAGCAAGUUGCAAGAGCCCCUUGUUAUAUAACUUAGUAUUAGUAUAGAUACCUACCAAGACUUCCGUGUUUAUCAUCCUUUUGUAUCUUAUUAUGUAAUCCCCUAAGACCAUCCUGUGCAUUUAACUAUCGGUUAUUUGCUGCUUAGACUGCUAUGCGGUAUGCUUUUGAAACAACCUUGAUGGAAGAAAUAUAUGCUUUCAUCUUUAAGUGCA
Aegilops tauschii subsp. strangulata is the source of this 3201-nucleotide non-coding RNA. The record is from RefSeq and is a predicted model, not a curated record. NCBI's taxonomy places the organism in Eukaryota, Viridiplantae, Streptophyta, Magnoliopsida, Poales, Poaceae.